Molecule: ribosomal RNA, 201 nt
Filed under: uncultured bacterium
Lineage: Bacteria
Description: partial 16S ribosomal RNA
Rfam family: Bacterial small subunit ribosomal RNA
Source: RNAcentral
ACGCUCGACACCUACGAGAGGCAGCAGUCGGGAAUAUUGCGCAAUGGAGGAAACUCUGACGCAGUGACGCCGCGUGCAGGAAGAAGGUUUUCGGAUUGUAAACUGCUUUAGACAGGGAAGAAAGAAAUGACAGUACCUGUAGAAUAAGCUCCGGCUAACUACGUGUCAGCAGCCGCGGUAAUCUGAGCGGGCUGGCAAGGC